RNAcentral lists this ribosomal RNA (218 nucleotides) under uncultured bacterium. Its description in RNAcentral is "partial 16S ribosomal RNA". It matches the Rfam family "Bacterial small subunit ribosomal RNA", at positions 524 to 740 of the family's 1533-position model. The record is from RNAcentral.
UACGUAGGGUGCAAGCGUUAAUCGGAAUUACUGGGCAUAAAGCGUGCGCAGGCGGUCUCGCAAGUCCGAUGUGAAAUCCCCGGGCUCAACCUGGGAACUGCGUUGGAAACUGGAGGACUUGAGUACAGACGAGGGUGGCGGAAUGGAUGGUGUAGCGGUGAAAUGCAUAGAUACCAUCCAGAACCCCGAUUGCGAAGCAGCUGCCCUAGACUGAUAAC